UACGAAGGUGGCAAGCGUUGUUCGGAUUUACUGGGCGUAAAGGGCGCGUAGGCGGUCGUGACAAGUCACUUGUGAAAUCUCCGGGCUUAACUCGGAACGGUCAAGUGAUACUGUCGGACUAGAGUGCAGAAGGGGCAACUGGAAUUCUCGGUGUAGCGGUGAAAUGCGUAGAUAUCGAGAGGAACACCUGCGGCGAAGGCGGGUUGCUGGGCUGACACUGACGCUGAGGCGCGAAAGCCAGGGGAGCGAACGGG
This 254-nucleotide ribosomal RNA is filed under the name uncultured bacterium. RNAcentral's name for it is "partial 16S ribosomal RNA". It matches the Rfam family "Bacterial small subunit ribosomal RNA", at positions 524 to 776 of the family's 1533-position model. The record is from RNAcentral.